AUUGAACGCUGGCGGAAUGCUUUACACAUGCAAGUCGAACGGCAGCACGGGUGCUUGCACCUGGUGGCGAGUGGCGAACGGGUGAGUAAUGCACCGGAACGUAUCCAAUAAUGGGGGAUAACGCACCGAAAGGUGUGCUAAUACCGCAUACGCCCUGAGGGGGAAAGCGGGGGAUCGUAAGACCUCGCGUUAAUGGAGCGGCCGAUGCCGGAUUAGCUAGUUGGUGAGGUAAAGGCUCACCAAGGCGACGAUCCGUAGCUGGUCUGAGAGGACGACCAGCCACACUGGAACUGAGACACGGUCCAGACUCCUACGGGAGGCAGCAGUGGGGAAUUUUGGACAAUGGGCGCAAGCCUGAUCCAGCCAUUCCGCGUGAGUGAAGAAGGCCUGGUGUAAG
This 397-nucleotide ribosomal RNA is filed under the name uncultured bacterium. RNAcentral describes it as "bacterial SSU rRNA". It matches the Rfam family "Bacterial small subunit ribosomal RNA", at positions 30 to 429 of the family's 1533-position model. The record is from RNAcentral.